This 599-nucleotide ribosomal RNA is filed under the name uncultured Actinomycetes bacterium. RNAcentral describes it as "bacterial SSU rRNA". It matches the Rfam family "Bacterial small subunit ribosomal RNA", at positions 109 to 707 of the family's 1533-position model. The record is from RNAcentral. Lineage: Bacteria; Bacillati; Actinomycetota; Actinomycetes.
AGUAACACGUGAGUAACCUGCCCCCUUCUUUGGGAUAACGGUCGGAAACGGCUGCUAAUACCGGGUAUUCACUGUCCUUCGCAUGGGGGGUGGUGGAAAGGUUUUUUCUGGUGGGGGAUGGGCUCGCGGCCUAUCAGCUUGUUGGUGGGGUGAUGGCUUACCAAGGCUUUGACGGGUAACCGGCCUGAGAGGGUGACCGGUCACAUUGGGACUGAGAUACGGCCCAGACUCCUACGGGAGGCAGCAGUGGGGAAUAUUGCACAAUGGGCGAAAGCCUGAUGCAGCGACGCCGCGUGAGGGAUGACGGCCUUCGGGUUGUAAACCUCUUUCGCUCAUGGUCAAGCCGCAACAGUGGUUGUGGUGAGGGUAGUGGGUAAAGAAGCACCGGCUAACUACGUGCCAGCAGCCGCGGUAAUACGUAGGGUGCGAGCGUUGUCCGGAAUUAUUGGGCGUAAAGGGCUUGUAGGCGGUUUGUCGCGUCUGCCGUGAAAUCCUCUGGCUUAACUGGGGGCGUGCGGUGGGUACGGGCAGGCUUGAGUGCGGUAGGGGAGACUGGAACUCCUGGUGUAGCGGUGGAAUGCGCAGAUAUCAGGAAGAAC